RNAcentral lists this unclassified non-coding RNA (762 nucleotides) under Hevea brasiliensis (rubber tree). Lineage: Eukaryota; Viridiplantae; Streptophyta; Magnoliopsida; Malpighiales; Euphorbiaceae. The record is from RNAcentral.
AUCAUCAUCGUCGUCAUCAUCGUCCCCAUCAGAAUCUUCUUCAUCAGCUUCAUUGUUAAAAUAUUUCAGCGGAUUAGGCCAUAAGUCCUCCUUAAUUAUCUCGCCCACCUCAUCACUAAGCCCAUCCGCAAUGUCUUUCAGCUGAGUCUCAGAAAACCAACUAAAAAAGCUGUCUUCUGAUGCUGGCCUCUUGUUCCCUUUCAUCUCAGGAUUAACACCAUAAGCCGCACCCAUGCCUUCCUUCCACUUAAUAGCUGUACCAGUUAUCUUUGUUGAUCCUUCAUCAAGGAAUGUAUAUGUCUUGACCAGUUUUGUAUCUUCAAAAUAAGGAUUUGGUUUGAAUACAAAAGUAAGGGAAUAGCCGGAUGUCACAUCCUUGAAAUCCUCCACAUCAAGAGAAUCUAAGUACUUGAAGAUCUUCUGAUCUUCCACAUUCAAAAGCUCGCCAAGGGCAGGGUGACUCAAGAAAGCAGUCACCCAAAAGUCAGGAAUUGAUUUGAUGAGCUCAUUUCGUUUCUCGUAAACAGGCCUCCUUAUCUCAUUAUACUUCUGUUCAAUUUCCAAUACCUCCUCACUAGCCUGUUCAUUCACCUUUUCAAGUUCAUCUUGAACUUCUUGAAGCUUCUCAAUGGAGGAUCCAACACCAGUACCAAUUUGUUGGGCAUUUUCCUCAACUGCUGUCUUCACUUUCUUGGAAUUGUCAGUCACCAUUUUUUUUUCAGAAACCCUAAAAAGGGAUCUGCUAAAACCCUAAUGCUGAAG